GGCGNUCAGGAAAGUCUGGAGUAAAAGGCUAUGGCUCAACCAUAGUGUGCUCUGGAAACUNUCUGACUUGAGUGCAGAAGGGGAGAGUGGAAUUCCAUGUGUAGCGGUGAAAUGCGUAGAUAUAUGGAGGAACACCAGUGGCGAAAGCGGCUCUCUGGUCUGUCACUGACGCUGAGGCUCGAAAGCGUGGGUAGCGAACAGGAUUAGAUACCCUGGUAGUNCACGCCGUAAACGAUGAGUGCUAGGUGUUAGGCCCUUUCCGGGGCUUAGUGCCGGAGCUAACGCAAUAAGCACUCCGCCUGGGGAGUACGACCGCAAGGUUGAAACUCAAAGGAAUUGACGGGGGCCCGCACAAGCGGUGGAGCAUGUGGUUUAAUUCGAAGCAACGCGAAGAACCUUACCAGGUCUUGACAUCCCGAUGCUAUUCUUAGAGAUAGGAAGUUACUUCGGUACAUCGGAGACAGGUGGUGCAUGGUUGUCGUCAGCUCGUGUCGUGAGAUGUUGGGUUAAGUCCCGCAACGAGCGCAACCCUUAUUGUUAGUUGCCAUCAUUAAGUUGGGCACUCUAGUGAGACUGCCGGUAAUAAACCGGAGGAAGGUGGGGGUGACGUCAAAUCAUCAUGCCCCUUAUGACCUGGGCUACACACGUGCUACAAUGGUCGGUACAACGAGUUGCGAGCCGGUGACGGCAAGCUAAUCUCUGAAAGCCGAUCUCAGUUCGGAUUGGAGGCUGCAACUCGCCUCCAUGAAGUCGGAAUCGCUAGUAAUCGCGGAUCAGCACGCCGCGGUGAAUACGUUCCCGGGCCUUGUACACACCGCCCGUCACACCACGAGAGUUUGUAACACCCGAAGUCGGUGAGG
This 860-nucleotide ribosomal RNA is filed under the name uncultured bacterium. Its description in RNAcentral is "bacterial SSU rRNA". It matches the Rfam family "Bacterial small subunit ribosomal RNA", at positions 574 to 1435 of the family's 1533-position model. The record is from RNAcentral.